Molecule: ribosomal RNA, 253 nt
Filed under: uncultured bacterium
Lineage: Bacteria
Description: partial 16S ribosomal RNA
Rfam family: Bacterial small subunit ribosomal RNA
Source: RNAcentral
UACGGAGGGUGCAAGCGUUAUCCGGAUUCACUGGGUUUAAAGGGUGCGUAGGAGGGCAGGUAAGUCAGUGGUGAAAUCCCCGAGCUUAACUUGGGAACUGCCGUUGAUACUAUCUGUCUUGAAUAUUGUGGAGGUGAGCGGAAUAUGUCAUGUAGCGGUGAAAUGCUUAGAUAUGACAUAGAACACCAAUUGCGAAGGCAGCUCGCUACAAAUAUAUUGACUCUGAGGCACGAAAGCGUGGGGAUCAAACAGG